GAUGAACGCUGGCGGCGUGCUUAACACAUGCAAGUCGAACGAUGAAGCCCAGCUUGCUGGGUGGAUUAGUGGCGAACGGGUGAGUAACCCGUGAGUAACCUGCCCUUGACUCUGGGAUAAGCCUGGGAAACUGGGUCUAAUACUGGAUAUGACUUCUCAUCGCAUGGUGGGGGGUGGAAAGAUUUAUUGGUCUUGGAUGGACUCGCGGCCUAUCAGCUUGUUGGUGAGGUAAUGGCUCACCAAGGCGACGACGGGUAGCCGGCCUGAGAGGGUGACCGGCCACACUGGGACUGAGACACGGCCCAGACUCCUACGGGAGGCAGCAGUGGGGAAUAUUGCACAAUGGGCGCAAGCCUGAUGCAGCGACGCCGCGUGAGGGAUGACGGCCUUCGGGUUGUAAACCUCUUUCAGUAGGGAAGAAGCGAGAGUGACGGUACCUGCAGAAGAAGCGCCGGCUAACUACGUG
RNAcentral lists this ribosomal RNA (466 nucleotides) under uncultured bacterium. Its description in RNAcentral is "partial 16S ribosomal RNA". It matches the Rfam family "Bacterial small subunit ribosomal RNA", at positions 28 to 507 of the family's 1533-position model. The record is from RNAcentral.